Molecule: ribosomal RNA, 253 nt
Filed under: uncultured bacterium
Lineage: Bacteria
Description: partial 16S ribosomal RNA
Rfam family: Bacterial small subunit ribosomal RNA
Source: RNAcentral
GACGUAGGGGGCCAGCGUUGCUCGGAAUUACUGGGCGUAAAGCGUGCGUAGACGGUUACAUAAGUCGGGUGUGAAAGCCCCGGGCUCAACCUGGGAAUUGCAUUCGAGACUGCGUAGCUAGGGUGCGGAAGAGGGAAGCGGAAUUUCCGGUGUAGCGGUGAAAUGCGUAGAUAUUGGGAGGAACACCAGUGGCGAAGGCGGCUAUCUGGACGAACACUGACGCUGAGACACGAAAGCGUGGGGAGCAAACAGG